This 645-nucleotide unclassified non-coding RNA is filed under the name uncultured Prochlorococcus sp. Its description in RNAcentral is "partial 16S-23S ribosomal RNA intergenic spacer; may also contain 16S ribosomal RNA and 23S ribosomal RNA". The stretch from base 303 to 375 matches the Rfam family "tRNA". The record is from RNAcentral. Lineage: Bacteria; Bacillati; Cyanobacteriota; Cyanophyceae; Synechococcales; Prochlorococcaceae.
UUGUGGAGGAGGACGCCGAAGGUGGGGCUAAUGGCUGGGGUGAAGUCGUAACAAGGUAGCCGUACCGGAAGGUGCGGCUGGAUCACCUCCUAACAGGGAGACAACAAAAUGUAAAUAUUAAUUUUGUCACCUUAGGUCGAUCGGUAUCUCAGAUUCUUAUUUUUUAAGAAUUUCAGUUUCUAAGUUUUUUCUAGGUCACACCCAUCACUUUUUCCUGGGCCAUUAGCUCAGGUGGUUAGAGCGCACCCCUGAUAAGGGUGAGGUCCCUGGUUCAAGUCCAGGAUGGCCCAUAUCUCUAUGUUGGGGGUAUAGCUCAGUUGGUAGAGCGCCUGCUUUGCAAGCAGGAUGUCAGCGGUUCGAGUCCGCUUACCUCCACUGAUUACCACCUCUUCCAUAAUUUAUAGAAGGGAGAUCUUUUGAGGUGUGAUCAAAUUCUGAACGAAUCUAGCUUCCUAAUUAUCUUUAUUAAGAUGCUGGACUCAUUGAAUUAAUUUCAUUGUUUUCAGAGAACCUUGACAACUGCAUAGAUUUUUUUUAAAGACAAUAAGCAUCUUUAAUGAUGCAGAUUUAUUAUUUGUGCAAAUGCAUUAAUAACAAUUCUACUAAGCUGAUGCUUCAAUUUUGAAGUUAUUGGUCAAGCUACAA